RNAcentral lists this long non-coding RNA (803 nucleotides) under Mus musculus (house mouse). RNAcentral's name for it is "predicted gene 5144". Lineage: Eukaryota; Metazoa; Chordata; Mammalia; Rodentia; Muridae. The record is from RNAcentral.
CCCGCACCUGACCUUUCUGGUCCCUGGAGCAAGGUCGGGGAACAAGGAACAAGGUCCUGGUGCAGGAAAAUUCAUUUGCAGAGCUGGUAAGCCCAUCUGGCCUGCACGGUGUCGCACCGCUCCUUCCCCCACCCGGCGUGGGUGCCCUCCUCCCUCUGGGCUGCUGGGACACGCUAGAAUCACAGUGGGCGCAGCGUCACCGUGUCCCAGUGCGCAGCCCCUCCGCGGGGUCACUGAGACCAGAAAAGCGAAACUUGUUGCUUCCGAUGUUGGAUAAAUGAUUCCGCUCCAGGAAGUGUCGCGGAGCUUGAAAAGCAUCACCCUAAGGUACUAUUUGCUAAACCAGGCAACUAAAAGGGACUCCCGCUUCCCGGCCCCCCAGAUCUUCCCCCAGAGAAUCUUUAAGUACCUAAAAAGCAGUCUGCCAACCCCAGCGCUUCUGUUCCAGGAUGCCCGAUAGUCUAGGAUGCCCAGAAAGGUCCUGCCCGGUAGACCCAGUCUUUCCACUGGUCACAGCUACCACAGCGAUGCAGACGGAGUGGAAAGGAUUGUGGAGAAGUCUCAGACCAGAGAGGCGCGUCUCUGAACCGAGCAGCUGCGCAGGUCCAGAGGGCCCUGCACCCUCUUUUCGUGGUCACGCAGCAAAGACAUUUACGGCGAGAACAGGCUGUAUUACACAAGGUAGUUCUGACACCAAAGUCUUGCAAAUUAAAGUUAAUUUAAAAUGUUUCUAAAUGUUCUUUCAUUUGGCUGGGCGUCAGUGUGUGCUCCAAUCUUAACUUAAACUUACGCCCUCUUUCGGC